RNAcentral lists this long non-coding RNA (906 nucleotides) under Homo sapiens (human). Its description in RNAcentral is "non-protein coding lnc-F3-7:6". Lineage: Eukaryota; Metazoa; Chordata; Mammalia; Primates; Hominidae. The record is from RNAcentral.
CUCUUCCCGGCAUGGGUUUCUGCCCAGCUCACCCGCUGUCAGCUGGGGUCCUGCUCUGGUGGGAGGAAGAGGCUCAGACGCUUCCCUGCCCUCUCGCCUCAACCACCUCGAGGCAGCGGCUCCCAGGAUGUGCACUUUGACGACUAAAGCUGAGCCGGCGCCGCCACGACCUUGGGCGGGUGGUCGGCCUCUGCCCUGAGCAGGAAGUAGAAAGUCUCAGCAGACCCUUCCUGAGGGCCGAGCAACAGUGUAGUGGCGUAUUCCACAUAGCAAACAGAUGUACACUAGAUUUUGAUGGCAUUUUUCCAGGGACCCUGGGAGCAUCUGUGUUCUCGUGUUCUUCUUGCCUGUGAGGCCUCUUCUCUCUGAGGACAGAUGGUAGGACAGAGAGAAGACAGCAAAUGGAAAACAAAGGCUGCUAUUUUUUUGUGGGGCAGCAUUUCUUCCUGUGACAAUAUGGUGUAAGACAAAAUUGUGGCCUGCCAUGAAGUUGUGAGAGAAAAGCAUCCCUCAUUUCUUCAGGAAAGGCCACUGCCGUUCCCUCCGGCUCCUCUUCUCAGGAGUUUGUGCAUUCAUGAGGUGAAUUCCUUGGAAGAUGAGGGCCAAGUCUUAUUCUUCUCAGUCUCUUCUGCAUCUAGCAGAAGAAUAAUGGUUGCACAGAAAAUCUUGGUUCAGUGGUUGAGUGAAUGAAUGGAUGAACAGGCUCUUGCACACAAAGAAGAGACAUGAUGUAUUUGCAUCCUUCCCUGCUUCAGCCAGGUCCCCAGACAGUCCCGGUGUGCACACUUCCCUGCUUCUGUUCAUGAUGUUCUCUGAACCUGGGAUCACCUUUCCCCUUCCUCUUACCUGCCCGAUCCUACUUGUCCUCCCAGAUUCAGUUUUCUGAAGCUCAGAGGGACACCUUGU